This is a non-coding RNA of Myotis brandtii (Brandt's bat), 76 nucleotides long. The record is from Rfam. NCBI's taxonomy places the organism in Eukaryota, Metazoa, Chordata, Mammalia, Chiroptera, Vespertilionidae.
GGCAGUUCUCUGGUGACGCAGCACCCUGGAAUCGGGCUCCCUCUCUGGUUCUGGGUUAUGUCACUCGAGAACCGCU